CCCUUAGAUGUUCUGGGCCGCACGCGCGCUACACUGAUGCAUGCAACGAGUUCUAUCCUUGGCCGGAAGGCCUGGGUAAUCUGUGAACGUGCAUCGUGAUAGGGAUAGAUUAUUGCAAUUAUUAAUCUUGAACGAGGAAUUCCUAGUAAACGCAAGCCAUCAGCUUGCAUUGAUUACGUCCCUGCCCUUUGUACACACCGCCCGUCGCACCUACCGAUCGAAGGUAAUGAUGAGCCCUCAGGAUUGUGGCCUCGUCGCGUCAGCGUCUUGGCUGCGAGAAUCUGUGCAAAUCCCUACCUUUAGAGGAAGGUGAAGUCGUANCA
RNAcentral lists this ribosomal RNA (323 nucleotides) under uncultured eukaryote. RNAcentral's name for it is "partial 18S ribosomal RNA". It matches the Rfam family "Eukaryotic small subunit ribosomal RNA", at positions 1470 to 1796 of the family's 1831-position model. The record is from RNAcentral.